Molecule: ribosomal RNA, 490 nt
Filed under: uncultured bacterium
Lineage: Bacteria
Description: partial 16S ribosomal RNA
Rfam family: Bacterial small subunit ribosomal RNA
Source: RNAcentral
AUUGAACGCUGGCGGCAUGCCUUACACAUGCAAGUCGAACGGCAGCAUGAUCUAGCUUGCUAGAUUGAUGGCGAGUGGCGAACGGGUGAGUAAUACAUCGGAACGUGCCCUGUAGUGGGGGAUAACUAGUCGAAAGAUUAGCUAAUACCGCAUACGGCCUGAGGGUGAAAGUGGGGGACCGCAAGGCCUCAUGCUAUAGGAGCGGCCGAUGUCUGAUUAGCUAGUUGGUGAGGUAAAGGCUCACCAAGGCGACGAUCAGUAGCUGGUCUGAGAGGACGAUCAGCCACACGGGGAGUGAGACACGGCCCAGACUCCUACGGGAGGCAGCAGUGGGGAAUUUUGGACAAUGGGCGAAAGCCUGAUCCAGCAAUGCCGCGUGUGUGAAGAAGGCCUUCGGGUUGUAAAGCACUUUUGUCCGGAAAGAAAUGGCUCUGGUUAAUACCUGGGGUCGAUGACGGUACCGGAAGAAUAAGGACCGGCUAACUACGUG